AUGAGACCUCCGCAGGAGCAAACUGAACUCUACAGUGAAGGGCUCCGUGCUCCAGUACAGACUUUAUCCUGACAUUAUUGGCCAAACCAUUAUCAGACCACUGAAGAGCAACUGUGGGCCUGGAUCAUGUCCUAAUGAAUGGAAGUUUUGCCAUUGACUUCAAUGGGAGCAGGAUCAGUGCCUCUGCAGGCUACAAACUAAUCUGCACAUUUUUAGACCUGUAACUUGAAUGCAGUUCACAAUGAGAGGAGAAUCAGACCCAUCAUAUUCACAGUGAACAUUCACUGAACAGUGAGAGGGACUGACCCCUACCUGAAUGAAUCUGCUCAGGUUGAUAACAGGCGCAGUGAUGAAUAGUUGGACCAGCUCUAAAUACAACUGAGUUCCACUGUCUCUGGGAAUUUUUACAAAACUCAUCCAAUUAAGCUGAUUGUGAAACCAAAAGUUGCAAAAUUGUUGCCCAUAAUCAGCAGCCUUGUAUGCCUUACCUGAUUGAUUCUAAAGGCUCUUACAGCCAAAUCUUGCAGUUCUUACUUAGCCAAGUAAGUACUCCUAAGUACAACAUGCUGUCAGACAGGCCCAGGGAUUCAGACAUCUUACCUAAGACUGCUUUUUUCAGGAAAGGUGAAUGUUCUGCAUUAUGCUGGAGUGGGAGAAGGAUGUAGAAGGUUCAACUAGUCUGCCCACAAAACAAGAUUCAAUGGUUCGGUUAAAAUGUUAGAGACCAGCAAAUCUAUUUUUCUACUACUGCAGCGCUGCUCUUUCACUAU
Molecule: long non-coding RNA, 770 nt
Organism: Terrapene triunguis (Three-toed box turtle)
Lineage: Eukaryota; Metazoa; Chordata; Testudines; Emydidae
Exons: 5
Source: RefSeq, a predicted model, not a curated record